UACGAAGGGUGCAAGCGUUACUCGGAAUUACUGGGCGUAAAGCGUGCGUAGGCGGUUCGUUAAGUCUGUCGUGAAAGCCCUGGGCUCAACCUGGGAAUUGCGAUGGAUACUGGCGGGCUAGAGUACGGUAGAGGAUGGUGGAAUUCCCGGUGUAGCGGUGAAAUGCGUAGAUAUCAGAUAGAACACCAAUGGCGAAGGCAGUCAUCUGGGCCAUAACUGACACUAAAGCACGAAAGCGUGGGGAUCAAAC
Molecule: ribosomal RNA, 250 nt
Filed under: uncultured bacterium
Lineage: Bacteria
Description: partial 16S ribosomal RNA
Rfam family: Bacterial small subunit ribosomal RNA
Source: RNAcentral